Molecule: ribosomal RNA, 489 nt
Filed under: uncultured bacterium
Lineage: Bacteria
Description: partial 16S ribosomal RNA
Rfam family: Bacterial small subunit ribosomal RNA
Source: RNAcentral
UUGAACGCUGGCGGCAGGCCUAACACAUGCAAGUCGAACGGUAACAGGAAGAAGCUUGCUUCUUUGCUGACGAGUGGCGGACGGGUGAGUAAUGUCUGGGAAACUGCCUGAUGGAGGGGGAUAACUACUGGAAACGGUAGCUAAUACCGCAUAACGUCGCAAGACCAAAGAGGGGGACCUUCGGGCCUCUUGCCAUCGGAUGUGCCCAGAUGGGAUUAGCUAGUAGGUGGGGUAACGGCUCACCUAGGCGACGAUCCCUAGCUGGUCUGAGAGGAUGACCAGCCACACUGGAACUGAGACACGGUCCAGACUCCUACGGGAGGCAGCAGUGGGGAAUAUUGCACAAUGGGCGCAAGCCUGAUGCAGCCAUGCCGCGUGUAUGAAGAAGGCCUUAGGGUUGUAAAGUACUUUCAGCGGGGAGGAAGGGAGUAAAGUUAAUACCUUUGCUCAUUGACGUUACCCGCAGAAGAAGCACCGGCUAACUCCGUG